This 217-nucleotide unclassified non-coding RNA is filed under the name Hevea brasiliensis (rubber tree). The record is from RNAcentral. Lineage: Eukaryota; Viridiplantae; Streptophyta; Magnoliopsida; Malpighiales; Euphorbiaceae.
UAUGCUGUUUGAUGCAUCGCCCCUUUCUUUUAUGUCUAGUUAUUUUGAAGGAACUAAUUGUAAUUGAAUAAAUAGGCACAACAAGUAGAGGAUUCAGACCUGACACAACUAGCUUUUUAUGCAUGUUGAUGCUUGAUCCUUUCAUAUCAUGUAGACCUGCUACAUAUGAUUUAGCUUGGAGUGAAGGUGAAUUUAUGUAGAAGUUACCCACUUAUAU